RNAcentral lists this ribosomal RNA (237 nucleotides) under uncultured bacterium. RNAcentral's name for it is "partial 16S ribosomal RNA". It matches the Rfam family "Bacterial small subunit ribosomal RNA", at positions 102 to 334 of the family's 1533-position model. The record is from RNAcentral.
ACGGGUGAGUAACACGUAUGCAAUCCACCUGUAACAGGGGGAGUAACCCGGAGAAAUCCGGACUAAUACCCCAUAAUAUGGGCGCUCCGCAUGGAGAGCCCAUUAAAGAGAGCAAUCUUGGUUACAGACGAGCAUGCGCUCCAUUAGCCAGUUGGCGGGGUAACGGCCCACCAAGGCGACGAUGGAUAGGGGUUCUGAGAGGAAGGUCCCCCACAUUGGAACUGAGACACGGUCCAA